Molecule: long non-coding RNA, 495 nt
Filed under: Chinchilla lanigera (long-tailed chinchilla)
Lineage: Eukaryota; Metazoa; Chordata; Mammalia; Rodentia; Chinchillidae
Description: lncRNA (ENSCLAG00000028539.1)
Source: RNAcentral
CUGGGUCUGACAAGUGACCUUGAGAGAAUUACAGCGGUAAUCUUUUCAGUUGGUUGGAGCCAGUCUUGGCCAAUUUCCCCAGAGUGUUAGGUGCAAACAUAAGCCUGAACUCCACGUCACACAUGCAUGUUUGCCUCAGCCCUUGUGCUGUGUCGCGUGUUUGUCCUGUGGCUUGUACAAGCAACGGCUUUCUCCUCCCUGGUGUGAGCUGGUCUCCAGACCUUCCUGCCCUUUGCUGGAAGUGCAGCGAAGCAAUGCGGACAAGGAUGUUGUUCCAAGCCCAUUGAGCAAGUGCUUGCAUUUAGUGACCUUCUGCACCAGUAAUUCUGUCCUUUGGGGAUUGAAAUUGAUUUUCCUCCUUUCUGCAUGUGAGCACAACCCAGGUGCACAGCUCUGCUAUGAAUACCGAUCUCAGAACACUGUGACUCCUGUGAUUAAACACAGACCAAGUGUCUAAUUCCAGCAACGUGAGGAAGGAUGAAAGAACAUAACCUU